GGAGGGAACCCUCUCUGGAGACGUGCUGGCCUGUUGGGAUCUCUGGAGCUGGCUUCCUUCUGC
This 63-nucleotide microRNA precursor is filed under the name Monodelphis domestica (gray short-tailed opossum). Its description in RNAcentral is "microRNA mdo-mir-7366 precursor". The record is from miRBase by way of RNAcentral. Lineage: Eukaryota; Metazoa; Chordata; Mammalia; Didelphimorphia; Didelphidae.